GAAUUCGCCCUUAGAGUUUGAUCCUGGCUCAGGACGAACGCUGGCGGCGCGCCUAACACAUGCAAGUCGAACGGAGCUUAGAGAGCUUGCUUUUUAAGCUUAGUGGCGAACGGGUGAGUAACGCGUGAGUAACCUGCCCUAGAGUGGGGGACAACAGUUGGAAACGACUGCUAAUACCGCAUAAGCCCACGGUACCGCAUGGUACUGAGGGAAAAGGAUUUAUUCGCUUUAGGAUGGACUCGCGUCCAAUUAGCUAGUUGGUGAGGUAACGGCCCACCAAGGCGACGAUUGGUAGCCGGACUGAGAGGUAGAACGGCCACAUUGGGACUGAGACACGGCCCAGACUCCUACGGGAGGCAGCAGUGGGGGAUAUUGCACAAUGGGGGAAACCCUGAUGCAGCGACGCCGCGUGGAGGAAGAAGGUUUUCGGAUUGUAAACUCCUGUCGUUAGGGACGAUAAUGACGGUACCUAACAAGAAAGCACCGGCUAACUACGUGCCAGCAGCCGCGGUAAAACGUAGGGUGCAAGCGUUGUCCGGAAUUACUGGGUGUAAAGGGAGCGCAGGCGGGAAGACAAGUUGGAAGUGAAAACCAUGGGCUCAACCCAUGAAUUGCUUUCAAAACUGUUUUUCUUGAGUAGUGCAGAGGUAGAUGGAAUUCCCGGUGUAGCGGUGGAAUGCGUAGAUAUCGGGAGGAACACCAGUGGCGAAGGCGGUCUACUGGGCACCAACUGACGCUGAGGCUCGAAAGCAUGGGUAGCAAACAGGAUUAGAUACCCUGGUAGUCCAUGCCGUAAACGAUGAUUACU
Molecule: ribosomal RNA, 808 nt
Filed under: uncultured bacterium
Lineage: Bacteria
Description: bacterial SSU rRNA
Rfam family: Bacterial small subunit ribosomal RNA
Source: RNAcentral